GGGGAUAUAGCUCAGUGGUAGAGUACAUGCCUAAUAAGCAUGAGGACCUGGGUUCAAGCCCUAGUGCUACCA
Molecule: non-coding RNA, 72 nt
Organism: Ictidomys tridecemlineatus (thirteen-lined ground squirrel)
Lineage: Eukaryota; Metazoa; Chordata; Mammalia; Rodentia; Sciuridae
Source: Rfam